UGUAAUAGGGACUUGAAGUCUUGCACUGACGUUAAUGAAAAUAACAGCGUAAAACAGUGACCAAUGGGCUGCCAGCUAUUGCACCCUUGAUUACAGUGAAAUUCACAUCUGUUUAAUAUUUCAGGCUCUUUAAGCAGGGGAGAGGCUGUCUCAGGGCACUGUGAAGGAGCAGGAGCUGGAUGCUGUACCUCACGGGCAUGUCUGAGCACAUGUGAGAUGGGGAUGAGCAGGGCCAGCCCCGUAAGGACGUCACCCUCAGCAGGUUAUUUUCAGGAGAAAGUGGCAAAGAUGGGAUCGCUGCCUGUGCUGUCCCAGGAUGAAGCCUAGGAGUGAACACAUUUCAUCAACCAGUUAUCAAACUGAACAGCACUUGCUGGCUCCUGUCUACAAGACUCGUUCUCAGGUCACUUUUGGUUUUAGCAGGAGAGUGCCUGGUAACAUCAAAUGUUUCCACAGGGUUUGCACGGGCUGUGAUCAACCACAUCUUCUACUUGCACAAGACUUGUGCAUGGGCCUCUUUCCAUCAUGAUCUGAGGUUCUGGGCAGAUUCACAGUGGCCUCUCCUGCAUGCUGAACAAAUUGCCAGCAAAGCCUCCCUGUUGAACUGUGAAAACUGAAGAGAGUAGCAGAAUUAAACUCCUUCUUUGGAAGACAUCUCUGUGAUUGAAGUACAUAAUCCAGUACGUGAUAUAUGUUGGAACGGCAUGCAAAACAACGACACGGAGGCAGGAGGUCUGCAGUGAAAAGCUGCUCCCCAAAAGAGGACACCUCCCAGUGACGUGACCCUCCCCGAGGUGCCGCAGGGAAGGUCACAGAGUGCAGCUGGAACACAGAAAAUCAACGUAGGAGAGAAAAGGACUGGAGGAAAUGUAAAGAGGAAGGGCUGGCCAACACCUUGCACUUCCUGCUUUUCUCUGUGGUAGUCCCAAAAGGCAUCACCUUCAGUGCAUUUAGGAUCCCUCCCCUCUCCUGGGCUGGGCCCUGUGGUGGGGAGCCAGAGCAAGGUGUGUUUCCUCAGAGGAUGCUCCUCCAGCCAGGACCCUCCUGCUCAAACAGGGCUCUGCAAAAGGGAAUUGCUCCUGAUGCUGCUGGAGAGACACAUCCUUGUGGAAAGGACCAGCCUGGGUAUUUUUUUAAAUACAGUCAUUAAGGGCAAAAGGAAUUUUUGUUUGCAUCAAUGUUCAUCAAAACAGAAAGUGGGUAUCUCUGGCAGUGAAUCAUAUCAGUUGUUCCUGACCUUUGGAAAGUGUCUGGUGUAUUUUGAAGUCACCUGGUGGACGAGACAAAACCUCAUUGAUGUGCACCAGCAGUUUCUGCUGAUGUAAAACAAGAAAUAAAUUACUGCUCUGAGGAAUAUUUGGAGUGUGCUCACACAACCUGAGCUACAUCAGUCACCAAUAUCCACUGAGCCUGGAUGAUAAAACACCGAGUUUCUGGAGCCAGAAGCUUGAUCUACGACUGAAUGUUUGCUGUGGAGAGUUUGCCAAGCUCCAGUCAUAGAAAAAUGUCAGUUGUGCAAGGAGAAAAACUCCAGUAAUGCUGUGAACAGACCUUCCUGAGAUCCCAGAAAUGAAGGGAAAAGGGGAAGGACUGCACUGGCACCAGCUUUGGCAACACAGCUGGUCCCUUCCCUCCCCACACUGUAAGAACGAAAUUGCAAAUAAAUGUCUGGGUUACUGCAAUUCAUGAGAUUCUUCUUUUAUCCUGCAUUCUCUAAACAUUCCAGGCAGCCAAAGAAGCUCAAAUACCACCCAUCCUCUGGCCUGCUCUGACAUCUGAGCUCCCAGCUGAGGGCCAGUCUGAAACUCUUUGGGAAAGCCUGGACCAGAGUCUGGGCUUUGGGGAAGCCUGCACUGCCUUUCCAGGCAGUGCUGGUGUUGGAGGAGGAUUCCCAGCCUGGUGUGGUCUGUGUCACACAGGGACUGCCACCCUGGCAGGGCAGCACUCGAGGGAAGUGCAUCCUAAUGAACUUUGCUAUUUGCCAGAUUGGCAGCUCCAUUGCUCCUUUAAUGUUUAAUGUGGAAAGGUCUGAGAACCCCAGGGGAGAACAGAGGCUGAGCACUCUGCUUAGGCAAAGUCUCUGUCCCAAAGAGCUUUAUAUUUAAAUAGAAAAGAUGGAUAAAUAGUGACAAGGAAGACACUUGAAGGAAAUGGCAUAAAGUCCAUAGCAGAAUGCAGCACAGAAAUAUCCUGUAAAUCCCGUAUCUCCUAUGCCCUGCCCCAGAGU
This is a long non-coding RNA of Prinia subflava (tawny-flanked prinia), 2227 nucleotides long. RefSeq lists it as uncharacterized. The record is from RefSeq and is a predicted model, not a curated record. Lineage: Eukaryota; Metazoa; Chordata; Aves; Passeriformes; Cisticolidae. The transcript has 6 exons.